AACCCAUGGUCAGAGCACCUUCUUAAUAAGUCCUUGUAUUUCUCCCAUGCAUCAUAAAGAGUUUCUAGAUCCAUCUGCACAAAAGAAGAGAUAUCAUUCCUCAGCCA
Gossypium hirsutum (cotton) is the source of this 107-nucleotide non-coding RNA. The record is from Rfam. NCBI's taxonomy places the organism in Eukaryota, Viridiplantae, Streptophyta, Magnoliopsida, Malvales, Malvaceae.